This 286-nucleotide unclassified non-coding RNA is filed under the name uncultured fungus. RNAcentral's name for it is "partial contains small subunit ribosomal RNA, internal transcribed spacer 1, and 5.8S ribosomal RNA". The stretch from base 1 to 73 matches the Rfam family "Eukaryotic small subunit ribosomal RNA", at positions 1759 to 1831 of the family's 1831-position model. Lineage: Eukaryota; Fungi. The record is from RNAcentral.
UCAAACUUGGUCAUUUAGAGGAAGUAAAAGUCGUAACAAGGUUUUCGUAGGUGAACCUGCGGAAGGAUCAUUACAGAGUUGCGACUCCUUCGGGAGCCAUCUCCACCCCUUGAUUACCAGACACUGUUGCUUUGGCGGGCCGUGGUCCUGCUGCCACCGGCCCCGGCUGGUGAGCGCCCGCCAGAGGCUUUUAAAUUCUUGCUUGCAAUGAGUCUGAGCGAAACAAAAAAUGCGAAAAACUUUCAACAACGGAUCUCUUGGUUCUGGCAUCGAUGAAGAACGCAGC